GACGAACGCUGGCGGCGUGCCUAAUACAUGCAAGUCGAACGCUUCUUUCCUCCCGAGUGCUUGCACUCAAUUGAGUGGCGGACGGGUGAGUAACACGUGGGUAACCUACCCAUCAGAGGGGGAUAACACUUGGAAACAGGUGCUAAUACCGCAUAACAGUUUAUGCCGCAUGGCAUAAGAGUGAAAGGCGCUUUCGGGUGUCGCUGAUGGAUGGACCCGCGGUAGUUGGUGAGGUAACGGCUCGGGGGGGGGGGGGGGGGGCGGCCCAGACUCCUACGGGAGGCAGCAGUAGGGAAUCUUCGGCAAUGGACGAAAGUCUGACCGAGCAACGCCGCGUGAGUGAAGAAGGUUUUCGGAUCGUAAAACUCUGUUGUUAGAGAAGAACAAGGACGUUAGUAACUGAACGUCCCCUGACGGUAUCUAACCAGAAAGCCACGGCUAACUACGUGCCAGCAGCCGCGGUAAUACGUAGGUGGCAAGCGUUGUCCGGAUUUAUUGGGCGUAAAGCGAGCGCAGGCGGUUUCUUAAGUCUGAUGUGAAAGCCCCCGGCUCAACCGGGGAGGGUCAUUGGAAACUGGGAGACUUGAGUGCAGAAGAGGAGAGUGGAAUUCCAUGUGUAGCGGUGAAAUGCGUAGAUAUAUGGAGGAACACCAGUGGCGAAGGCGGCUCUCUGGUCUGUAACUGACGCUGAGGCUCGAAAGCGUGGGGAGCAAACAGGAUUAGAUACCCUGGUAGUCCACGCCGUAAACGAUGAGUGCUAAGUGUUGGAGGGUUUCCGCCCUUCAGUGCUGCAGCAAACGCAUUAAGCACUCCGCCUGGGGAGUACGACCGCAAGGUUGAAACUCAAAGGAAUUGACGGGGGCCCGCACAAGCGGUGGAGCAUGUGGUUUAAUUCGAAGCAACGCGAAGAACCUUACCAGGUCUUGACAUCCUUUGACCACUCUAGAGAUAGAGCUUUCCCUUCGGGGACAAAGUGACAGGUGGUGCAUGGUUGUCGUCAGCUCGUGUCGUGAGAUGUUGGGUUAAGUCCCGCAACGAGCGCAACCCUUAUUGUUAGUUGCCAUCAUUUAGUUGGGCACUCUAGCGAGACUGCCGGUGACAAACCGGAGGAAGGUGGGGAUGACGUCAAAUCAUCAUGCCCCUUAUGACCUGGGCUACACACGUGCUACAAUGGGAAGUACAACGAGUCGCUAGACCGCGAGGUCAUGCAAAUCUCUUAAAGCUUCUCUCAGUUCGGAUUGCAGGCUGCAACUCGCCUGCAUGAAGCCGGAAUCGCUAGUAAUCGCGGAUCAGCACGCCGCGGUGAAUACGUUCCCGGGCCUUGUACACACCGCCCGUCACACCACGAGAGUUUGUAACACCCGAAGUCGGUGAGGUAACCUUUUUGGAGCCAGCCGCCUAAGGUGGGAUAGAUGAUUGGGGUG
Molecule: ribosomal RNA, 1424 nt
Filed under: Enterococcus faecalis
Lineage: Bacteria; Bacillati; Bacillota; Bacilli; Lactobacillales; Enterococcaceae
Description: bacterial SSU rRNA
Rfam family: Bacterial small subunit ribosomal RNA
Source: RNAcentral